UACGGAGGGGGCUAGCGUUGUUCGGAAUUACUGGGCGUAAAGCGUACGUAGGCGGCUUUGUAAGUUAGAGGUGAAAGCCCGGGGCUCAACCCCGGAAUUGCCUUUAAGACUGCAUCGCUUGAACGUCGGAGAGGUGAGUGGAAUUCCGAGUGUAGAGGUGAAAUUCGUAGAUAUUCGGAAGAACACCAGUGGCGAAGGCGACUCACUGGCCCGAUACUGACGCUGACGGCGCGAAA
RNAcentral lists this ribosomal RNA (236 nucleotides) under uncultured bacterium. RNAcentral's name for it is "partial 16S ribosomal RNA". It matches the Rfam family "Bacterial small subunit ribosomal RNA", at positions 524 to 758 of the family's 1533-position model. The record is from RNAcentral.